RNAcentral lists this ribosomal RNA (116 nucleotides) under Lepisosteus oculatus (spotted gar). Lineage: Eukaryota; Metazoa; Chordata; Actinopteri; Semionotiformes; Lepisosteidae. The record is from RNAcentral.
GCCAGCACCUAUAUCACUCUGCAGAUCUCAACUGGCUCUCACUGAAGCUUAGCAAGGUUGAGCCUGGGCAGUACCUGGAUGGGAGACCUCCUGGGAAGCUAUGGUUGCUGCUAGAA